AGUGAACGAGGGAGGGAGGAAGAACACAGGCAAGUCGAACGGCAGCACAGUAAGAGCUUGCUCUUACGGGUGGCGAGUGGCGGACGGGUGAGGAAUACAUCGGAAUCUACUUUUUCGUGGGGGAUAACGUAGGGAAACUUACGCUAAUACCGCAUACGACCUACGGGUGAAAGCAGGGGAUCUUCGGACCUUGCGCGAUUGAAUGAGCCGAUGUCGGAUUAGCUAGUUGGCGGGGUAAAGGCCCACCAAGGCGACGAUCCGUAGCUGGUCUGAGAGGAUGAUGAGCCACACUGGAACUGAGACACGGUCCAGACUCCUACGGGAGGCAGCAGUGGGGAAUAUUGGACAAUGGGCGCAAGCCUGAUCCAGCCAUACCGCGUGGGUGAAGAAGGCCUUCGGGUUGUAAAGCCCUUUUGUUGGGAAAGAAAAGCAGCAGGUUAAUACCCCGCUGUUCUGACGGUACCCAAAGAAUAAGACCCGGCUCCCUUCGUU
RNAcentral lists this ribosomal RNA (492 nucleotides) under uncultured bacterium. RNAcentral describes it as "partial 16S ribosomal RNA". It matches the Rfam family "Bacterial small subunit ribosomal RNA", at positions 29 to 507 of the family's 1533-position model. The record is from RNAcentral.